AGCCCAUAAUCCCUAGUCCCAUACCCCUAACCUAAUUCCUACCCCUAUAUAUAGUAUCUAAUACCUAAAAUAAACCUACACACCCUAGACACCAAAAAACAUUAGAUCCGCCGUUCCAUCUUCUAGACUACAAAAAUCCUAAAGCUUCAGCACCAAGAAAGGAAACGAAACGAAGAACACAAAAAGAAAAGGACAUCAGUCCUUUGAAUUCAAAAAGAAAAGGAAAAAAAAGCACACAAAAAUACACAAAAAUAACGCACCCAGGGACACUGAAAAGGAUUUGAGCGCUGUUACCCCAUGGAUCACGCCUUCUUCUUCUUCAUGAAGAAUGCCUAAGACCUCAAAAAAAACACAAAAAUGGGGAACUGAUCUGCCGUUUGGACCCAUCGAGAACCCCCCCUCCGUUCUGCUUCUUCUUCUUCAACCAAACAACACUGAUCUCCGCCCGAACUCACCUCUGAAUUUCAGUCCAACGACCUUCAAAAUACUACUGUUUCAGUCCAAAAUCUAGCUCAAAAAUAGCUGAAAAUAACUUCAAAAUCAGGUGGAGUUCAUCUCCGUCGUUUUGGUUUAGUUCAAGUUUUCCGGUGAGCUUCGAGUCGUCGAAAGUUGCUGUCCGAUUCUCCGUUCAGUUGCACGUCGAUGUACUGUUGUUGUCGCCGGUGAGUUUCCGUUUAAUGGUUCCGGCUCCGGUCAGAAAUUCACUCUUGUUUGAAUUUUGAAAGAAGCAGUCAAGUAAUUGCAAAGAUUCAGGCACUUUGGAUCCAGUGGCGGAUGUUUGAUCGAUGCUUCUGACUUAGAAGAUUAUUGAGGUACCUGCACAGCGUUCGCAGGCCGUGGCUCUCCACCUUACUUACCUAUUGUAUUUCAGUUGCUCCCUUAGACAUUAUAGUAGACUAUGUAUGUUCAUUCGACGCUCAUGUACUCAGUGACACCCCGGUUUUUAGCUAGAUUGUAUUUAUUCUUGGAAUUUCUUAUGUUUCAAAUAGUUCUUUAACUGUUAAAAGCUUCCAUAAAUGUUUUCAAACUUAAUAUUAUCGGGUUGAUUGUUGA
Molecule: long non-coding RNA, 1053 nt
Organism: Nicotiana attenuata
Lineage: Eukaryota; Viridiplantae; Streptophyta; Magnoliopsida; Solanales; Solanaceae
Exons: 2
Source: RefSeq, a predicted model, not a curated record